RNAcentral lists this transfer RNA (72 nucleotides) under Marmota monax (woodchuck). RNAcentral describes it as "tRNA.Ala". It matches the Rfam family "tRNA". Rfam says of the family: Transfer RNA (tRNA) molecules are approximately 80 nucleotides in length. Lineage: Eukaryota; Metazoa; Chordata; Mammalia; Rodentia; Sciuridae. The record is from RNAcentral.
GGAGGUGUAGCUCAGUGGCAGAGUGCGUGCCCAGCAUGCAUGACGCCCUGGGUUCCAUCCCCAGCACCAAAA